GAUCGCAGUAUAAAAAGUCAAACAAAAAAAAAUAUAUAUACGUAUGUAAUCACUUAAAGUAUCAGUUUUUUUGAGUAACAGUGACAAUUUCAAUCAUAAAAAAAAACAUUGGAAGUUUAUAAAUUUGGGCAAAACAAUAAUCAAACGAUCGAAUAUUUUAGAAAGAAGCAUUUUCAAAUUUUUAAUUUGAAAACCAUCAAAUCGUCAUUAAAAGUAUAUGUAACAAUAGAACAAAUUCCUUCCAACAUCGCAGGAUGGAAAAAAAUUUCCGCAUAUUUUGCAUUGGAUUGUUGGUUGUUUUGAUGAUAACAAACACCUUUACAUAUGAUCAAUGUCUGCGUAAAAAGUGUAACACUGAUGAAAAUUGCAAAAACUGCCAUGUUAAUUCUAAUUGCAAAUGGAAUCUAUGGCAUUGGGAUUACGUUUGUUCUCCAUUUUACCCAUUCAAUCCGAAUCCUGGAGAACGUUAUUAAUCGUAUAUCUAUACAAAGGAACAGCGUCGGAAUUAAAUAGAGACCAUUUUUAUACAUCAUAGGAAAGGAAAGGAUUUAAAUCAUUCCAGACACGUCAUUUCAAAUUUACUAAUUUCAUUUUUUUAUUAAUGAAAAUGUAACGAAUCCAAAUAAAAUUACC
This is a long non-coding RNA of Microplitis demolitor, 633 nucleotides long. RefSeq lists it as uncharacterized. NCBI's taxonomy places the organism in Eukaryota, Metazoa, Arthropoda, Insecta, Hymenoptera, Braconidae. The transcript has 3 exons. The record is from RefSeq and is a predicted model, not a curated record.